RNAcentral lists this ribosomal RNA (2953 nucleotides) under Clostridioides difficile CD196. Its description in RNAcentral is "bacterial LSU rRNA". It matches the Rfam family "Bacterial large subunit ribosomal RNA". The record is from RNAcentral. Lineage: Bacteria; Bacillati; Bacillota; Clostridia; Peptostreptococcales; Peptostreptococcaceae.
GGUCAAGUUAUUAAGGGUGCAGGGCGGAUGCCUUGGCACUAGGAGCCGAUGAAGGACGUGAUAAGCUGCGAUAAGCUUCGGGGAGUUGCACGUAAACUUUGAUCCGAAGAUUUCCGAAUGAGGAAACUCACUUAGAGUAAUGUCUAAGUAUCAUUAAGUGAAUACAUAGCUUAAUGAGGGGAACUCAGGGAACUGAAACAUCUAAGUACCUGAAGGAAGAGAAAGAAAUUCGAUUCCGUAAGUAGCGGCGAGCGAACGCGGAUUAGCCCAUACCGCUAAAGUUUUCUUUAUUGGGGUUGCGGACAUAUCUCAACGAAGAGGUGUCGGAAUUGAAGAGGUUUGGAAAGAUCCACCACAGAAGGUAAUAGUCCUGUAUGUUAAACGAGAAGACUUCAGAUAUGAUCCAGAGUACCACGGGACACGUGAAACCCUGUGGGAAGCAGGAGGGACCACCCUCCAAGGCUAAAUACUACCUAGUGACCGAUAGCGUAUAGUACCGUGAGGGAAAGGUGAAAAGAACCCCGGGAGGGGAGUGAAAUAGAACCUGAAACCCUGCACUUACAAGCUGUGGAAGCACAUUUCUUGUGUGACCGCGUACUUUUUGUAGAACGGGCCAACGAGUUACGUUAAGUAGCAAGGUUAAGCACUUAAGGUGCGGAGCCGUAGCGAAAGCGAGUUUUAACUGAGCGUUCAGUUACUUGACGUAGACCCGAAACCGGGCGACCUACCCAUGAGCAGGAUGAAGCGAAAGUAAAAUUUCGUGGAGGUCCGAACCCACGAGCGUUGAAAAGCUCGGGGAUGACUUGUGGGUAGCGGUGAAAUUCCAAUCGAGCCCGGAGAUAGCUGGUUCUCCCCGAAAUAGCUUUAGGGCUAGCCUCAAGGUGAGAGAUACGGAGGUAGAGCACUGAAUGUCCUAGGGGGUAUUGCACCUACCGAAGACUAUCAAACUCCGAAUGCCGUCAUCUUAUACUUGGGAGUCAGACUGUGGGUGAUAAGAUUCAUAGUCGAAAGGGCAACAGCCCAGAUCGUCAGCUAAGGUCCCUAAAUGUAAGUUAAGUGGUAAAGGAUGUGGGAUUGCACAGACAACCAGGAUGUUGGCUUAGAAGCAGCCACUCAUUCAAAGAGUGCGUAAUAGCUCACUGGUCGAGUGAUCCUGCGCCGAAGAUUUCCGGGGCUAAAACUUACUACCGAAGCUACGGCAUCAGUAAUGAUGGGUAGGGGAGCUUCCCAUACGGGUUGAAGCAUGACCGUAAGGACAUGUGGACAGUAUGGGAGUGAGAAUGUUGGCAUGAGUAGCGAGAUGUGGGUGAGAAUCCCACAGGCCGUAAACCCAAGGUUUCCAGGGGAAGGUUCGUCCGCCCUGGGUUAGUCGGGACCUAAGCUGAGGCCGAAAGGCGUAGGUGAUGGACAACAGGUUGAUAUUCCUGUACUACCGAUAACCGUUUGAGAGAAGGGAUGACACAGUAGGAUAAGCUAAGCACACUGUUGGUUAUGUGUGCCCAAGCAUUGAGGCAGUCAAAGUAGGCAAAUCCGCUUUGAUAAUACUGGGAUGUGAUGGGGAGCGAAAUUUAGUAGCGAAGUAGCUGAUUUCACACUGUCAAGAAAAGUCUCUAUCGAGGUUAAAGGUACCCGUACCGCAAACCGACACAGGUGGGUGAGGAGAGUAUCCUAAGGCCAGCGAGAGAACUGUUGUUAAGGAACUCGGCAAAAUGACCCCGUAACUUAGGGAUAAGGGGUGCCACCAUCAGGUGGCCGCAGAGAAUAGGCCCAAGCGACUGUUUACCAAAAACAUAGGUUUCUGCUAAGUCGCAAGACGAUGUAUAGGAGCUGACGCCUGCCCGGUGCUGGAAGGUUAAGGGGAUCUGUUAGAGCAAUCGAAGCAGUGAACUUAAGCCCCAGUAAACGGCGGCCGUAACUAUAACGGUCCUAAGGUAGCGAAAUUCCUUGUCGGGUAAGUUCCGACCCGCACGAAAGGCGUAACGAUUUGGGCACUGUCUCAACAACAGACUCGGUGAAAUUGUAAUUCCGGUGAAGAUGCCGGAUACCUGCGACAGGACGGAAAGACCCCAUGGAGCUUUACUGUAGCUUGACAUUGGGUCUUGGUACUACAUGUACAGGAUAGGUGGGAGGCUUUGAAACCAGGACGCCAGUUUUGGCGGAGCCAUCCUUGGGAUACCACCCUUGUAGUACUGGGACUCUAACCAUAGGCCAUGAAUCUGGUCUUGGGACACUGUCAGGUGGGCAGUUUGACUGGGGCGGUCGCCUCCCAAAAGGUAACGGAGGCGCUCAAAGGUUCUCUCAGUACGGUCGGAAAUCGUACGUAGAGUGUAAAGGCAAAAGAGAGCUUGAUUGCAAGACAUACAGGUCGAGCAAGGAUGAAAAUCGGACUUAGUGAUCCGGUGGUUCUGCGUGGAAGGGCCAUCGCUCAACGGAUAAAAGCUACCCUGGGGAUAACAGGCUUAUCUCCCCCAAGAGUCCACAUCGACGGGGAGGUUUGGCACCUCGAUGUCGGCUCAUCACAUCCUGGGGCUGUAGUAGGUCCCAAGGGUUGGGCUGUUCGCCCAUUAAAGUGGUACGCGAGCUGGGUUCAGAACGUCGUGAGACAGUUCGGUCCCUAUCCGUCGCAGGCGUAGGAAAUUUGAGAAGACCUGUCCUUAGUACGAGAGGACCGGGAUGGACGUACCUCUGGUGUACCAGUUGUCCUGCCAAGGGCAUGGCUGGGUAGCUAUGUACGGAAUGGAUAAGCGCUGAAAGCAUCUAAGCGCGAAGCCAACUUCAAGAUAAGAUUUCCCACCGCAAGGGUAAGACUCCAGAAAGACUAUCUGGUUGAUAGGUCGAAGGUGUAAGUGCAGCAAUGUAUUUAGCUUAUCGAUACUAAUAGGUCGAGGACUUGACCAAUAUUUAUUUGAUGUUCAUUCAUUAAGAUAUAUGUGUAGUUUUUAGAGUGCUAACU